CCUACGGGCGGCAGCAGUGGGGAAUAUUGGACAAUGGGGGCAACCCUGAUCCAGCCAUGCCGCGUGUGUGAAGAAGGCCCUCGGGUUGUAAAGCACUUUCAGUGAGGAAGAACGCCUGGUGGUUAAUACCCAUCAGGAAAGACAUCACUCACAGAAGAAGCACCGGCUAACUCCGUGCCAGCAGCCGCGGUAAUACGGAGGGUGCGAGCGUUAAUCGGAAUUACUGGGCGUAAAGCGCGCGUAGGUGGCUUGAUAAGCCGGUUGUGAAAGCCCCGGGCUCAACCCGGGAACGGCAUCCGGAACUGUCAAGCUAGAGUGCAGGAGAGGAAGGUAGAAUUCCCGGUGUAGCGGUGAAAUGCGUAGAGAUCGGGAGGAAUACCAGUGGCGAAGGCGGCCUUCUGGACUGACACUGACACUGAGGUGCGAAAGCGUGGGUAGCAAACAGGAUUAGAUACCCUGGUAGUC
Molecule: ribosomal RNA, 465 nt
Filed under: Vreelandella stevensii
Lineage: Bacteria; Pseudomonadati; Pseudomonadota; Gammaproteobacteria; Oceanospirillales; Halomonadaceae
Description: partial 16S ribosomal RNA
Rfam family: Bacterial small subunit ribosomal RNA
Source: RNAcentral